RNAcentral lists this ribosomal RNA (253 nucleotides) under uncultured bacterium. RNAcentral's name for it is "partial 16S ribosomal RNA". It matches the Rfam family "Bacterial small subunit ribosomal RNA", at positions 524 to 776 of the family's 1533-position model. The record is from RNAcentral.
UACGUAGGGGGCUAGCGUUGUCCGGAAUCACUGGGCGUAAAGCGCACGUAGGCGGCGUCUUAAGUCAGGGGUGAAAUCCUGGAGCUCAACUCCAGAACUGCCUUUGAUACUGAGAUGCUUGAGUCCGGGAGAGGUGAGUGGAACUGCGAGUGUAGAGGUGAAAUUCGUAGAUAUUCGCAAGAACACCAGUGGCGAAGGCGGCUCACUGGCCCGGUACUGACGCUGAGGUGCGAAAGCGUGGGGAGCAAACAGG